GACGAACGCUGGCGGCGUGCCUAAUACAUGCAAGUCGAACGAACUGACGCUGGAACUUGUUCCAGUUGACGUGAGUGGCGAACGGGUGAGUAACACGUGGGGAACCUACCCUUCAGCGGGGGAUAACCGUCGGAAACGAUGGCUAAUACCGCAUAACACUUUGUACCACAUGGUACGGAGUUAAAAGACGGCUUCGGCUGUCACUGAAGGAUGGUCCCGCGGUGCAUUAGCUAGUUGGUAGGGUAAAGGCCUACCAAGGCGAUGAUGCAUAGCCGACCUGAGAGGGUGAUCGGCCACACUGGGACUGAGACACGGCCCAG
This 320-nucleotide ribosomal RNA is filed under the name uncultured bacterium. RNAcentral describes it as "bacterial SSU rRNA". It matches the Rfam family "Bacterial small subunit ribosomal RNA", at positions 28 to 334 of the family's 1533-position model. The record is from RNAcentral.